RNAcentral lists this ribosomal RNA (749 nucleotides) under uncultured bacterium. RNAcentral's name for it is "bacterial SSU rRNA". It matches the Rfam family "Bacterial small subunit ribosomal RNA", at positions 73 to 838 of the family's 1533-position model. The record is from RNAcentral.
GAGGAGCUUGCUCUUCAAAUCGAGUGGCGAACGGGUGAGUAACGCGUGAGGAACCUGCCUCAAAGAGGGGGACAACAGUUGGAAACGACUGCUAAUACCGCAUAAGCCCACGGCUCGGCAUCGAGCAGAGGGAAAAGGAGAGAUCCGCUUUGAGAUGGCCUCGCGUCCGAUUAGCUAGUUGGUGAGGUAACGGCCCACCAAGGCGACGAUCGGUAGCCGGACUGAGAGGUUGAACGGCCACAUUGGGACUGAGACACGGCCCAGACUCCUACGGGAGGCAGCAGUGGGGAAUAUUGCACAAUGGGGGAAACCCUGAUGCAGCGACGCCGCGUGGAGGAAGAAGGUCUUCGGAUUGUAAACUCCUGUUGUUGAGGAAGAUAAUGACGGUACUCAACAAGGAAGUGACGGCUAACUACGUGCCAGCAGCCGCGGUAAAACGUAGGUCACAAGCGUUGUCCGGAAUUACUGGGUGUAAAGGGAGCGCAGGCGGGAGAACAAGUUGGAAGUGAAAUCCAUGGGCUCAACCCAUGAACUGCUUUCAAAACUGUUUUUCUUGAGUAGUGCAGAGGUAGGCGGAAUUCCCGGUGUAGCGGUGGAAUGCGUAGAUAUCGGGAGGAACACCAGUGGCGAAGGCGGCCUACUGGGCACCAACUGACGCUGAGGCUCGAAAGUGUGGGUAGCAAACAGGAUUAGAUACCCUGGUAGUCCACACCGUAAACGAUGAUUACUAGGUGUUGGAGGAUUGACCC